GGGGAGUAGCUCAGUUGGUUAGAGCGCCGGCCUGUCACGCCGGAGGUCGCGGGUUCAAGUCCCGUCUCU
RNAcentral lists this transfer RNA (69 nucleotides) under uncultured Roseiarcus sp. It matches the Rfam family "tRNA", at positions 5 to 66 of the family's 71-position model. From Rfam's summary of the family: Transfer RNA (tRNA) molecules are approximately 80 nucleotides in length. Lineage: Bacteria; Pseudomonadati; Pseudomonadota; Alphaproteobacteria; Hyphomicrobiales; Roseiarcaceae. The record is from RNAcentral.